Molecule: non-coding RNA, 30 nt
Filed under: Cricetulus griseus (Chinese hamster)
Lineage: Eukaryota; Metazoa; Chordata; Mammalia; Rodentia; Cricetidae
Source: RNAcentral
AGAAGGAAGGCUUAACCCCCACCGUCAGCA